UACGGGCGGGGCGAGCGUUGUUCGGAUUCAUUGGGUGUAAAGGGUGCGAAGGCGGUCGUCUAAGUCGGAGGUGAAAUGUCUACGGCUCAACCGAGGCAUUGCCUCCGAUACUGGACGACUUGAGUGCGGAAGGGGAGCGUGGAAUUCCUGGUGUAGCGGUGAAAUGCGUAGAUAUCAGGAGGAACACCGGUGGCGAAGGCGACGCUCUGGUCCGCAACUGACGCUCACGCACGAAAGCCAGGGGAGCGAACGGG
Molecule: ribosomal RNA, 254 nt
Filed under: uncultured bacterium
Lineage: Bacteria
Description: partial 16S ribosomal RNA
Rfam family: Bacterial small subunit ribosomal RNA
Source: RNAcentral